Molecule: ribosomal RNA, 251 nt
Filed under: uncultured prokaryote
Description: partial 16S rRNA
Rfam family: Bacterial small subunit ribosomal RNA
Source: RNAcentral
ACGGAGGGUGCAAACGUUGCUCGGAAUCACUGGGCGUAAAGCGCUCGUAGGCGGUUUGUCAAGUCAGAUGUGAAAUCCCCGGGCUUAACCUGGGAAGUGCAUUUGAAACUGGCAAGCUAGAGGUUGGGAGGGGGUAGCGGAAUUCCUGGUGUAGAGGUGAAAUUCGUAGAUAUCGGGAGGAACACCAGAGGCGAAGGCGGCUACCUGGACCAAUACUGACGCUGAGGAGCGAAAGCGUGGGGAGCAAACAG